This is an RNA transcript of Nicotiana tabacum (common tobacco), 1338 nucleotides long. RefSeq lists it as uncharacterized. The record is from RefSeq and is a predicted model, not a curated record. Lineage: Eukaryota; Viridiplantae; Streptophyta; Magnoliopsida; Solanales; Solanaceae.
GUUUUCUGUCUCAUUCUGGAAAGGAUCAUUUUGGGAGUGGAAGAGAUGUUGUUGGAAGCUAGAGCACAAGGACACUGGGGAGUUGCCGGAGCAGUUCCUCUCACUUUCCGCCGCUCUCUGUGUUCAGUCCCCACUCGCGUGUCGUUCCACGGUGCUGCUCCUCCGCAAACCCGGCGAUUCCAACCGUUGGCUGUUGUUAAGCGAAGUCCUAAACGUCUCAAAUACUCGGCUCCUCGCUUUACUAAGGAAGAUGGAUUGCUGUAUGUUCAAGUUGAUCCAAUAGGAUCAGACUCGUGGAAGUUGGAUCCAGUUGUUGAACUUCUUAAAGGAGGAGCUGUUGGAGUGAUUCCCACUGACACUUUGUACGCAAUGGUUUGUGACCUGAGCAGUCAUUCAGCCAUUGAACGUCUUCGCAGAAUAAAAGAGAUAGAACCUUCAAAGCCCCUUAGUAUCAUAUGUCGAUCCUUCCGGGACAUAGAUACAUAUACAACAGGAUUUCCUAGUGGUAAUGGCCAAGGUCUUACAGACAUUUUUCGAGCAGUCAAGCAUUUCCUGCCCGGUCCUUACACUUUCAUCUUAACUGCUAGCAAACAACUACCAAAACAAUGCACGAGGUAUGGGACUGCUGCAUCCAGAUACAUUUCAAGGAAAAAUGUUGGUGUUCGUAUACCUGAUGAUCCUGUCUGUCAAGCAAUCUUAGAAAAGAUGGAUGGACCUCUUAUUUCCACAAGUGUCAAGUCACCAGAGGAAAACGAGUGGAUACUGGAUCCUGUCAUUAUAGCUGAUGUAUAUGGUCCAGAGGGACUUGAUUUUGUUGUUGAUGCUGGUCUUCGAGUGGCUGAUCCAUCUACUGUAGUAGAUAUGACUGCAAGUUCUCCUCGUCUUAUACGGCAGGGAAAGGUACAACAAUAUGCACAAGACAAGUGAAUUUUGUUACCUCAAAUUGCUGACGGAAAUCUGGUCUGGAGAAUUGCAGAGGGUCCUAAGCAGCCUUGGAUGAUAGCAGAAGACGACGAUUCUGCUCGGGAUGGAAAUUGAAUAGAUCCCAUUAUUGACGCAGUUUAAGUAAGACUGCUGCUUAAAAUCCCACUACCUAAAGCCAGAGCUCUUGUACAGCACACAGAUAAAGAUAGUGAAUCCCUUUCAAUCUGGAUCAUCGUCCAUCAGUCUUUCAUUAGUGUACAUUGGUUGUAAAUACUCAAUGUGGUAGAUCACGACUCAUUCAUUCCCCGGUCAUUUCUAUUUUCUAUUGUGUUUUCGCCUCGUCGUGCCAGAACACUCUGCCUCUACAUUAUUUCUCGUUGUUAUCUAGUGAAGAGGAAACCGCUGUUUAUACGU